Long non-coding RNA from Mauremys mutica (yellowpond turtle), 212 nucleotides. RefSeq lists it as uncharacterized. The transcript has 3 exons. Lineage: Eukaryota; Metazoa; Chordata; Testudines; Geoemydidae. The record is from RefSeq and is a predicted model, not a curated record.
CUGGACCCGGGAGCUGGGAAUAGGGCCCUGGCCCGACCGACUCACCUACCCCUAGGGACACCCUCCAUGAUACUGUAGCGCCAGGGCAAGCGACACAGGCGCUGCCCAAGUGCCCCGCCACCUGGUUUCAAGUGAUUGUCUGAGACUCUCAGCUACAAGGAAAAACUACCAUGGCUGCUACUCUGAAACCUGUCUUCUGACAGUGGCCAAUG